This 440-nucleotide long non-coding RNA is filed under the name Anser brachyrhynchus (Pink-footed goose). RNAcentral describes it as "lncRNA (ENSABRG00000017447.1)". Lineage: Eukaryota; Metazoa; Chordata; Aves; Anseriformes; Anatidae. The record is from RNAcentral.
AAAAUCUGCUCUUCUGAUGUAUUCAUGCACUCUGCCAGGAGCUUCCAGUAGAACCAGGCUUUAGAACAAGGGGUCAUGGUUGUUGCUUUUCCAGAAGGUGCCUUUUCCAGAAGUCCUUUAUCUUUUACAGAAGGAAAUGGUGUCACCUGAAAUUGUGCAGAAGAUGGGUGUUGUAUCGGUCUUCCCUGGGUUCCUCCAGAAGAAGAAAGCAUAAGCCUCACCUUUUCAGAAACAAGAGCUGCCCAGACUGCGACAGACUGGUGGAGAACUGCUGUGAGACGUUUGCAAUGCCUUGCUUGUGCAUCUGCAGUGAGGUUCAGCGGAAAAAGAUAAAGAAAAGAUUCUCCUUUUCCAACCAUCGUGAUGGCUGACAUCUGCUGGGAUGACCCCUUGCCCCUAGCAGCAAAGCACAGCUAUGUAAAGACGGACGACAGACAGAU